AGGGGCAGGCAAGGCGAGCCAGCACUGGUUUCACACACAAACAUGAAGAGCCAAGUGGCAGAUGAUGGACACCCCAGCUGCUUCCUUGGCCAGGAGUGUGUUUAGUCUAGGAUGCAGCCUGGAUCCUAGCAGGGCUGGGAAAGGAGACGACAAUUGCAAGAGACAAGGGGAACAGGACCAGGACUCCAGCCACAGGGAAGGAAAUCUUCACUGUGUAAAGCUGCUUGAGCAUGGCUGUGCUCCUCAAAGCUAUCCAGAUACAUGCAGUGAGGAUGGUUUGGACAUGCUGCACCCAUGCGUCACAUCCAUCCCAUGAUGGCAGGGCCCUCCUCAAAUGGUCCUUCCCCUUCAACUCCCAGGAGAACCUUGUGGAGACCAUAAGACUCCUCCACCAGUUGCAGUGCCAGAAUGUAGGGCAGGGACCCAGUGGGAGGAGGUGAGACUGCAGCUGAGGACAUCUGAAAGCAUAUUGCUUUAACUCUUCUCAUGCUGAAUAAGAUAAGUUAUGAUAACCUCAGUUUGACUCUAAAUUAUAAUGGUAAAGGCUGCCUGUCUUCAUAAUGCAAGUUCUUUUCUCUUGGCUCCAUCCUGA
Molecule: long non-coding RNA, 592 nt
Organism: Cygnus olor (mute swan)
Lineage: Eukaryota; Metazoa; Chordata; Aves; Anseriformes; Anatidae
Exons: 3
Source: RefSeq, a predicted model, not a curated record